This 338-nucleotide unclassified non-coding RNA is filed under the name soil metagenome. Its description in RNAcentral is "partial contains 5.8S ribosomal RNA, internal transcribed spacer 2, and large subunit ribosomal RNA". The stretch from base 1 to 120 matches the Rfam family "5.8S ribosomal RNA", at positions 35 to 154 of the family's 154-position model. The record is from RNAcentral.
GAUGAAGAACGCAGCGAAAUGCGAUAAGUAAUGUGAAUUGCAGAAUUCAGUGAAUCAUCGAAUCUUUGAACGCACAUUGCGCCCCCUGGUAUUCCGGGGGGCAUGCCUGUCCGAGCGUCAUUUCAACCAUCAAGCCCCAGCGCUUGUGUUGGGGGCCUGCGGCUGCCGCAGCCCCCCAAAAGCAGUGGCGGGCUCGCUAUCACACCGAGUGCAGUAGUUCAUCUUCUCUCCGGUCUUGUGAGGCGGGUUCCGGCCGUGAAACACCCCACUACAUUCAAGGUUGACCUCGGAUCAGGUAGGAAUACCCGCUGAACUUAAGCAUAUCAAUAAGCGGAGGA